CCUACCAGAACCUGUACAACUCUAAAAUACAUCUUCUGAUUGCAAUUCAGACACUUUAAUUAAGCUAAAGCCCU
RNAcentral lists this transfer RNA (74 nucleotides) under Gekko smithii. RNAcentral describes it as "tRNA-Ala". The record is from RNAcentral. Lineage: Eukaryota; Metazoa; Chordata; Lepidosauria; Squamata; Gekkonidae.